UGCCAGCAGCCGCGGUAAUACGUAGGUCUCGAGCGUUAUCCGGAUUUACUGGGCGUAAAGCGUCUGUAGCCGGAUAGUUAAGUCUAUUUUCAAAGAUCCUGACUCAAUCAGGAAAAGGGAAUAGAUACUGACUAUCUAGAGUAUUUUGGAGGUUAGUGGAAUUUCCGGUGGAGCGGUGAAAUGCGUUGAUAUCGGAAGGAACGCCAAAAGUGAAAACAGCUAACUAUGAAAUUACUGACGGUGAGAGACGAGAGCUUGGGUAGCAAACGGGAUUAGAUA
Molecule: ribosomal RNA, 279 nt
Filed under: uncultured bacterium
Lineage: Bacteria
Description: partial 16S ribosomal RNA
Rfam family: Bacterial small subunit ribosomal RNA
Source: RNAcentral